Molecule: long non-coding RNA, 2988 nt
Organism: Carcharodon carcharias (great white shark)
Lineage: Eukaryota; Metazoa; Chordata; Chondrichthyes; Lamniformes; Lamnidae
Exons: 7
Source: RefSeq, a predicted model, not a curated record
UGCAGCUCUCAGCCAAGUACUUGCUUUUAAAUUUUAAUGCUUCCGGUGUUUCCCUUUCCCCUCCGCCCUCUAGUCUGAAAUCCUGAAGGUAAGACAAUGUACAACUGGAGAAGAUGUCUUCAAUCUGACUGAUGAAUAUUUUGAAGAAACUUAGAUAGAUUGGUCUUGUUGCUAAGCAUCAGAUCUGAUGGGGCCACAUCAAUGAUGGUUCACACAGGGUGUUAGGAGGGAGCAAGAGGAAUCUACGCCUUUACUCUGGAGCCAUGGAAAUAAACCUAGACUAAGGAAAAGACUGGCUCCAUUUUCAUCCCUUCCUCAAUGUGUGGACAGUGACUUUAACAGAACCCACAUGGACAGCUGGGAAAACCACCAACACAAUACAGGACCAAAGGGCACCCCCUGAUUAUGGGAAAAAGGACACAGUCAGACCAGGAAACCAACACAACCCACAAACCCAGGCCACAACGCAAAAUACUUUCUCUCUCAAGAACAAAAAGGAGAAAACCUGGGAGAAGUACUAAUAAUGACACACCAGACUGAACACAACAAACCCACCCCCUAGUCAGGAUCCCAACCUGGUCACAAACAAAUGUGCCACAACACAGGAGCAGACCCACUAACAGGACACAACAACUCGUGGGGGUUGACAACACUUAGCACCAAACUGGGGCCCACAAGGGAACCCAGACUAUGGAAAAUCCCUCCCCCCACACUCAAAACCACCCACGACCCCUUCGCAAACCCCCAAACGAGGCAAUCAGAACAUAGGGAACUACCACAGCUAUCAACAGAGGGGAGACCAACACUGAGCACUACAACAACCGCCUAGAAACUACACAUACCCAAGGGGCAAAACACCAUCAUCGACACUUCCAUCCCACCACCCCUUGGUUUCAACAGGCUCAGUGUGGUUCCAACACGGGUCACACGCCAUAGAGCCCCCAAACUCACAGCAACCAGAGAGAGGCAAAAGAGACUCACCCCAAUUCACAACCCCCACAGCAGCUGAAACCAACAGGCCCAGAAAGCCCAGGGAGGGAGAAACAGGGAGGCCACAUGGGAGAAACGAGCCACACCACCCACCAGGACUUGAGAUCUCACAUCAAAACAAGACAACACAUACACGAACAAGAACAUAAGAGGGAGAGAGUGGUGAGACUUCAUAAAGAGCACGAGGGGGAGAGGAGGAGACAAUUGGUGAGUGACAGGGAAGACAUCCCAGAACAAUGCCGAGAUAUUGCGGACUGGCGGAGGACCAGCCCGUCUUCUAAUCCUGAGUAGAUAUAAGCAAGAGUCCCUAGAGCUGGAGAGGCACCAUCCGCCAAGGUCAAUCAGCUGCAGUGAGGUUGGGGUGCCAUAGGGAGGAACCUGCAAACAAGCGGUGUCUGCUGUCAGCAUCCCAAGAAUUGGAGAACAUCAGUGCUGACAAAAAUCAAAUGCCGGACUUUGAGAAAAAUGCCGGUGAAAAACAAGACACCCAGCGUGCUUAACUGCUUCUUGAGGACUACUGUUCAAAGCUGAAGAAACCGAUAAUAGUAAAACUUCUUCAUAAUGAAAUCCCAAAAACUACAUGUACUUCCAACGGAAGGGAAUACUACUUCAGUAAAUCUGCUGAACCUUGGGCGAUGUAAUUCGAUUCUCCUGUGGUUUCAUAGUUUUAGCUUGAGAAUAAGGCUGCUGAAGAUACACCAGUGUUGAGGAAGACCACUGUAGUGGAGACAACAUCCCCUGCACAGAACUGCAGAGUGAUGAGGAGGCUGGAGACUGCAUAUGCGUCCAGAGUAUGUGCUCUCUUGAUUCUCAUUUGCAAAUUAUCUUCGACAGUUAAAAUGAAACCAUCUGAUGGCUGUGACUUCACAUUUUUUAAAUUCCUAUUUCUCUGCUCUAGAAGAAGAAGGCUGCUGUAGUGAAGGAGAACCCAAAGAAUCAGCUCGAGGUCAUCCUGAAUGAGAGGCCCUUGCAAAGGGUCAAGGGCAAUAAGACUGAAAAGCCGAUGUUCGCGCUGAGCAACAGGAGGUACCUGAACACCCCUCCAGCCCCACCCAAUCACAGCUGCAAAAGAGGGAGAGGAAGAUCUUGAAGCUGUGGUAGAAAGUUGCACACCUGGGGGAAGAAAUUUCAUCAGAGGGUGGAGGUGCUCAAGGUGCAGAACUUAAAGCUUGAAAAUGCACUGUUAGAGUCAGGAAUUUUAUAAUCACUUACAUCCCUUUCUGUAGCUAAAGCAGCAUCAAGUGUAAAAUUUGCAUUGGUUCAGUAGCAUCCUGGAAUGGCGCAAACUAUUCUCCAUCAUUGAAGUUCAAGAGCUGCAGGAGCCCCAACAACGUCAAGGCAGAGUCACCUCCCCCCCAAGUGCUUUGGAGACACAGCCAUGGACCUGGCUGUGGCAAGGUUCGGUUGCUGGAUGGGAUCAAGAUCCCAGAGUGACUGUGGGAUUCAGUCCAUGGCCAGAGGACUAAUUCCUUACUCAUUAAGUGACUGGCUGUUGUUGUCUGAGGCUCAGAUGUUCCAUGAGAGGUCUGGCUGUGACAGAGCAUGCCAUGGUCUGUGAGCAGUGAGGGUGUUGCAAAAUCAACACGGUCACCAGUAAAGCUGAAUGUUGCGAAAGGGAUCCACUCAAACACACACCUUGAUGUAAAUUGUUGUUACCUUCUUUGUCCUGUGACUCUGAUCUACUUUUGUACCUCUCUCACUUGCCUGCCAUUGGUGUCCAUUUAGUGUUGUGACCAAAGGCUUAUAAAUAAUCCCUUGGUUAAACCUUUGUCAUCGCUGCCCACCAGCAUGCUUCACGUGCCACCUUUGUACCCAGGGGCUAAGUUCAGAGGAUGUCACCAAAGAGCUGAAGAAGAUGAAUAAAUUACAUCUCUGAUAAAAUUCAAGACCUAAACAGGAAACAUUUUCUGGAGAUGUGGACGCAUUUAAAUUUUGUAAGGAGAGUGUUUAUUUACGUAUUGUUUAAUUGGUGUCUUUCCAAUAAAAGUUUGAAACUUA